CUACGGGGUGCUGCAGUGGGGAAUAUUGGACAAUGGGGGAAACCCUGAUCCAGCAAUGCCGCGUGUGUGAAGAAGGCCUGCGGGUUGUAAAGCACUUUCGGUUGGGAGGACUGCUUCUAGCACUAAUAUUGUUGGAAGUUGACGUUACCUUCAGAAGAAGCACCGGCUAACUCCGUGCCAGCAGCCGCGGUAAUACGGAGGUGCAAGCGUUAAUCGGAAUUACUGGGCGUAAAGCGCGCGUAGGCGGCUAGAUCAGUCGGGUGUGAAAGCCCCGGGCUUAACCUGGGAACUGCAUCCGAUACUGUCUAGCUUGAGUACAGGAGAGGAGAGUGGAAUUCCACAUGUAGCGGUGAAAUGCGUAGAUAUGCGGAGGAACACCAAUGGCGAAGGCAGCUCUCUGGCCUGAUACUGACGCUGAGGUGCGAAAGCGUGGGGAGCAAACAGGAUUAGAUACCCGCGUAGUC
Molecule: ribosomal RNA, 464 nt
Filed under: uncultured bacterium
Lineage: Bacteria
Description: partial 16S ribosomal RNA
Rfam family: Bacterial small subunit ribosomal RNA
Source: RNAcentral